UACGUAGGGGGCAAGCGUUGUCCGGAAUCAUUGGGCGUAAAGAGCGUGUAGGCGGCCAGAUAAGUCCGCUGUGAAAUCUCGAGGCUCAACUUCGAGCUGUCGGUGGAAACUGUCUGGCUAGAGUCCGGAAGAGGAGAAUGGAAUUCCUGGUGUAGCGGUGAAAUGCGCAGAUAUCAGGAAGAACACCCGUGGCGAAGGCGGUUCUCUGGGACGGUACUGACGCUGAGGCACGAAGGUCAGGGGAGCAAACGGG
Molecule: ribosomal RNA, 253 nt
Filed under: uncultured bacterium
Lineage: Bacteria
Description: partial 16S ribosomal RNA
Rfam family: Bacterial small subunit ribosomal RNA
Source: RNAcentral